CUGUUCGCCAUUUAAAGUGGUACGCGAGCUGGGUUCAGAACGUCGUGAGACAGUUCGGUCCCUAUCUGUCGUGGGCGUUGGAGAUUUGAGAGGGGCUGCUCCUAGUACGAGAGGACCGGAGUGGACGAACCUCUGGUGUUCCGGUUGUCACGCCAGUGGCACUGCCGGGUAGCUACGUUCGGAAGCGAUAACCGCUGAAAGCAUCUAAGCGGGAAGCGCGCCUCAAGAUGAGAUCUCCCGGGGCACAAGCCCCCUAAAGGAACCAUCAAGACUAGGUGGUUGAUAGGCAGGGUGUGUAAGCGCAGUAAUGUGUUGAGCUAACCUGUACUAAUGAUCCGUGUGGCUUGACCAU
This 352-nucleotide ribosomal RNA is filed under the name Lysobacterales bacterium. RNAcentral's name for it is "partial 23S ribosomal RNA". It matches the Rfam family "Bacterial large subunit ribosomal RNA", at positions 2577 to 2925 of the family's 2925-position model. Lineage: Bacteria; Pseudomonadati; Pseudomonadota; Gammaproteobacteria; Lysobacterales. The record is from RNAcentral.